CACAAGCGGUGGAGCAUGUGGUUAAUUCGACGCAACGCGAAGAACCUUACCAGGGCUUGACAUCCCCUGACCGCGUAUGAAAGUACGUUUUCACCCUCGGGUGACAGGGAGACAGGUGGUGCAUGGUUGUCGUCAGCUCGUGUCGUGAGAUGUUGGGUUAAGUCCCGCAACGAGCGCAACCCCUACGUUUAGUUGCUAACAGGUGAAGCUGAGCACUCUAGACGAACUGCCGUUGACAAAACGGAGGAAGGUGGGGAUGACGUCAAAUCAUCAUGCCCCUUAUGUUCUGGGCUACACACGUGCUACAAUGGCCGGUACAGACGGAGGCGAAGCCGCGAGGCGGAGCAAAUCCGAAAAAGCCGGUCUCAGUUCGGAUUGCAGGCUGCAAUUCGCCUGCAUGAAGUCGGAAUCGCUAGUAAUCGCAGGUCAGCAUACUGCGGUGAAUACGUUCCCGGGCCUU
RNAcentral lists this ribosomal RNA (460 nucleotides) under uncultured Pelotomaculum sp. RNAcentral's name for it is "bacterial SSU rRNA". It matches the Rfam family "Bacterial small subunit ribosomal RNA", at positions 924 to 1382 of the family's 1533-position model. The record is from RNAcentral. Lineage: Bacteria; Bacillati; Bacillota; Clostridia; Eubacteriales; Desulfotomaculaceae.